UCGUGUCGUGUAGAUGUUCGGUUAAGUCCGCUAACGAGCGCAACCCUCACUGUGUGUUACAUGUGUCACACGGGACUGCCGGUUUUAAGCCGGAGGAAGGCGGGGAGUGACGUCAAGUCAGCAUGGCCUUUAUAUCUUGGGCUACACACACGCUACAAUGGUCUGUACAAUAGGUUGCCAAGCCGCGAGGCGGAGCCAAUCCUAAAAGCAGGCCUCAGUUCAGAUUGCAGUCUGCAACCCGACUGCAUGAAGAUGGAGUUGCUAGUAACCGCAGGUCAGCUAUACUGCGGUGAAUACGUUCCCGGGUCUU
RNAcentral lists this ribosomal RNA (310 nucleotides) under uncultured Anaerolineaceae bacterium. Its description in RNAcentral is "bacterial SSU rRNA". It matches the Rfam family "Bacterial small subunit ribosomal RNA", at positions 1060 to 1382 of the family's 1533-position model. The record is from RNAcentral. Lineage: Bacteria; Bacillati; Chloroflexota; Anaerolineae; Anaerolineales; Anaerolineaceae.